RNAcentral lists this ribosomal RNA (397 nucleotides) under uncultured bacterium. RNAcentral's name for it is "bacterial SSU rRNA". It matches the Rfam family "Bacterial small subunit ribosomal RNA", at positions 915 to 1311 of the family's 1533-position model. The record is from RNAcentral.
AAGAGGGGAAUCGCACAAGCGGAGGGGNAUAUGGUUUAACGCGAUACAACAGAAGAACCUUACCAAACCAUGACAUACGAGAAACUUUCCAGAGAAGGAAGGGUUCGUUCGGGAAUAUUCGGACAGGUGGUGCAAAGCUGAAUGCAGGUAGUGUCGUGAGGUGUGGGGUUAAGUCCCGCUGCGAGAGCGAACAUUUUCAUACUUGCCAACAUUUCGGAUGUGAAGUUUAAGGACAUUGUCAAAGACAAACUGGAGGAAAACGGGGACGAAGUCAAAUCAUCAUUGCCCUUAAGGCCAAGGGUACACACGUGCAACAAUGGUCGGAACGAAGGGUUGGUGCCUAGCGAUAGGAUGAUAAUCUUAAUAAGUCUAGGUAGAUCGGAUUGGAGUCUGUNUG